This 150-nucleotide small nuclear RNA is filed under the name Microtus ochrogaster (prairie vole). RNAcentral's name for it is "U1 spliceosomal RNA (ENSMOCG00000003436.1)". It matches the Rfam family "U1 spliceosomal RNA". From Rfam's summary of the family: U1 is a small nuclear RNA (snRNA) component of the spliceosome (involved in pre-mRNA splicing). Its 5' end forms complementary base pairs with the 5' splice junction, thus defining the 5' donor site of an intron. Lineage: Eukaryota; Metazoa; Chordata; Mammalia; Rodentia; Cricetidae. The record is from RNAcentral.
AUACUUACCUGGAAGGGGAGAUUUUAUAAUCUCCAAAGUGCAGCUUAUCCAUUGCUCUCUGGAUGUCCUGACUCCUGCUAUUUCCCUACAUGUAGGAAGCUAUGCUGUACAAUUCGUGGUAGCAGGGAGUUGUGCUCGUGCUCUCCCCUG